Molecule: non-coding RNA, 104 nt
Organism: Amylocarpus encephaloides
Lineage: Eukaryota; Fungi; Ascomycota; Leotiomycetes; Helotiales
Source: the annotation of a GenBank genome assembly
GCUCAACUGGCGCAAUGGUAGCGCGCAAGACUUCUAUCGAUUCCUGGGACUACAACCCAUCGAAUGAGAUCUUGAGGCUGUGGGUUCGAGUCCCACGUUGAGUG